RNAcentral lists this ribosomal RNA (465 nucleotides) under Vreelandella stevensii. Its description in RNAcentral is "partial 16S ribosomal RNA". It matches the Rfam family "Bacterial small subunit ribosomal RNA", at positions 338 to 795 of the family's 1533-position model. Lineage: Bacteria; Pseudomonadati; Pseudomonadota; Gammaproteobacteria; Oceanospirillales; Halomonadaceae. The record is from RNAcentral.
CCUACGGGAGGCUGCAGUGGGGAAUAUUGGACAAUGGGGGCAACCCUGAUCCAGCCAUGCCGCGUGUGUGAAGAAGGCCCUCGGGUUGUAAAGCACUUUCAGUGGGGAAGAACGCCUGGUGGUUAAUACCCAUCAGGAAAGACAUCACUCACAGAAGAAGCACCGGCUAACUCCGUGCCAGCAGCCGCGGUAAUACGGAGGGUGCGAGCGUUAAUCGGAAUUACUGGGCGUAAAGCGCGCGUAGGUGGCUUGAUAAGCCGGUUGUGAAAGCCCCGGGCUCAACCUGGGAACGGCAUCCGGAACUGUCAAGCUAGAGUGCAGGAGAGGAAGGUAGAAUUCCCGGUGUAGCGGUGAAAUGCGUAGAGAUCGGGAGGAAUACCAGUGGCGAAGGCGGCCUUCUGGACUGACACUGACACUGAGGUGCGAAAGCGUGGGGAGCAAACAGGAUUAGAUACCCUUGUAGUC